Capra hircus (goat) is the source of this 3308-nucleotide long non-coding RNA. RefSeq lists it as uncharacterized. NCBI's taxonomy places the organism in Eukaryota, Metazoa, Chordata, Mammalia, Artiodactyla, Bovidae. The record is from RefSeq and is a predicted model, not a curated record. The transcript is spliced from 2 exons.
UCUAUGGGGUGGCACAGAGUCGGACACUACUGACGCGACUUAGCACCAGCAGCAGCAUGUGAUUCUUGAUUAUUAUUUACACUAUCAUAGAAACACAAAUAUGUAUGUGGGUUGGAUAGCCAAUAUCCUUGGUAUUUACUUCAAAUGAGUGAUGAAAAUACCUGUUAAAACUUGGUGCUGGGACCUCCAUUUUUUAUGUCCAGUGGUCACCUUAUAAACCAGGCAUGAAGAGAAACAAAAUGAUUAACUCUUUGUGUCUUGAGGUUUAUUCCCUUCAGCUGGUCUAAUGGAAUGGGUAUAAUGAUAAUCAUUUCUCAGUUUAUCCCUACCCUUUCUCUUUUUAAAUCUAUAGGAGCAGUUGUGAUGUCAGUAAAGCUGUGGUUAAGUAUAUAUGUUAGAGGACUUAAAAUACAAACAAUAGAAGUGUUUUGUAGUAUAGUUGUUACCACUGACUGAAAAGGUAAGAUUUACCGUGAAAAUUCAUAAAGUAAGACGAGUAGUCAGCUGCAAGAUAUUAAUACAGACCUUGAAACUUAAUAAGUGUUGGCUGAUACAAGAACAAAAUACUGUAAUACAAACUAGAAUGUCUUCAAGAACAGAAGUCUGCUCUUGCCAGCUCGUGGCUCUUAGGUUAACAAAUCUAAUCCAGGAUGCAUCUUAACCCUGCAGCAAAUAAUAUUUUAUUUUUGCCUUAUUUCCAGAUACCAGCUUAACACAAGUGCUCUACCCUAUUGCCUGGCUUUGAGCAGUGUUCUGCUCUGAAAAGAAAGUUAUAUGUACAUUUUAUCUUCCGUUUGAAUACUACUUCUUAACUGCAAACUAAUAAGCAUUGAACCCAGUAUUCACAGAGCCUGCUCUGUUUUAUAAAAUUUCUCAGCUCUUUUCAGAUCGUUCUAAAUGGUGAUUCCUUUUCUUUUUAUUAAACUCAACUUUGCUUUUUCUUCAUAAAGUUAAGGGUAGGUAACAUGAGUCCCUCUUGCCCUUUACUAUUAGAAUCUGGCAUCAGGAGCAACUGUUGCUAUGUAUGAUUUUCUUCCAAAACUUCCCUUUUCUGGGAUGAAAGUUGUAUUGAUUCCAGUGUUUGUUAUCUAGUUGAGCAGUAUCAGUAAAUUCACUGGCUCACCUUCAUGUUUAGUGAAUACCUAACCAUAUUAUUUUAUAUCCAUGUCUUGAAUGCCAAUCCUAAAACAGAUUGCAGGGAGGAAAGAGGGUACUUGGACCAUACUUUGAAUAAAAGACAUUUUGAGGGUUGUUCCCCCGCCCCCGCCCUUAAAAACAAAAGCCAACUCCUUAGUACCGGAUGUGUUCAGUGUACUUUUUGAAAAAUUGUUCUGGUCAUUUUGUUCAUUUUUCCUGAAUUAGUAUUCUGCCCUGGUCCCUAAAGAUAGUUUUAUAUGCUAACUUUUGUUUUGCCUUUCUAGCUACUAAAAUAGAUAAUGGUUAUUACAAACGGCACGUUUUUAAAUGGUCUCCGGUGUGGAUUGCUCAGCCAGUGAUGGAGUGAGUACAUUGAGGAAGAAGGUGUCAUUCGGAAUCCAGAACCAUUCCACAAGGAUAACUACCUGAUACAUGAUUUCGUGACUGAUGCUGAAAUGGAAGCCAACCAUGCAGAAAUUUGGGGGAAAAUGAAUCUGAAGAAUGCACGGGGAAGUAGGAAUUCAUUUCUAGCAUUCCCAAACCUGCUUUGUCACGUCAGCUUCACUGCAGUCAGAGGAAAAGAACUGAGUUCAUGGAAAUUACCAACUAAACCUUACGUCUGUCUGUAAUGUUUUUAGGAAAUGUACUGAAAGGUAAGUGAGAUAUCUGGUUUGAAGAAAGACUUUAUUAGGUAUUUUUAAACCAGCUACGAACAUGUUAGUAGAAAUGGAUGGCUUCUUUAUUCUGAGCGUCAGGAAUCUUGCCCUCGUUUGGUGUGGUUCUCAGUGGUUGUGGAGACGGUGGAGUUGUUCCAGCCAGCGUGAAGCUUUUCCUCUACUUCCUGGCAGUCACGCUGGAACUGGCACUAAAGUGUAGCGUGCCAGUUUUUGUUGCUUUGUCCUCAACUCCUCUCAAAAAAAAUAUUUUCAGUUGAAUUUUAAUUUUACCCCUUAAACUAUAUGGAAAAUUUUUCAAAUGCUUCUAAGUUCCUACCAGAACUAUAUUUGCAUUAUAUAUAGUCAAACAAGAAUAAAAUAAUGGGUUUUAUAGGUCUCUGUUAACCUUACCUACAUUGAUUUUUAUAGAUAAUUUUAAAAUUACUGAGGUUACAUUGUUCCACGUUUAGUAAAUCUCUGUGUAAUAGGCCUUGUGCCAGACCUGGAGUAAAACAAUGGAAUAGCACACAGUUCAUGUACUCAAUAAAUUUUUUAUUGAUAAAAUAGUUAGAAUUUUAGUUUUGGGAAUCCGAAUCUGAUAAAAUUAGACUAAUUCCAUUUCCCAAUCAAAAAUCCUCUGUAGCUUGCUAUUUAAAUAUGACAUUGUAUUUGAGAGAUCCAGUGCUUGUGUUUGAGAGAGACAUUUACUAAAUACUUCCUAUGUUCCAGGUACUGUUCUAAGCUCUUUACAUAUAUGUUUUUUAAUCCUUAUAACUGUCCUGUAAGAUGGGUGCUAUUACUAAAACCGGUUUUAAGUCAUUAAGGCAGAAAAGCUAAUUACCUUAUUCAGCUUUGUACAGCUAUGAUCUAAGACCAAUAUGUGAACCCAGACAGGCUGAUUGUGCCUGGACUCUCAAUUUGGGCGUGAUAUUUAUAUGCAGUACCUGGCUAGGAGUACCUGCAAGAUAUUCCAGAUUCUGAAUAAAACUUGAGUAGUUUUAAAAGGGAAAGUUUCAGUAGCAUAGAAAGACCAUAGAUAAUAGUUACCAAACUUUUCAGAGAGCCAAAAAUUCCCUUUUUUUAACUCUCGGCUCCAGGACAGCCAUUUAGCGUGAUGACGUCACCGCUGCCCUUUUACCCUCCUGCCACUCCCUGAAGUAGUGCGCAUGCGCACACAGCUUCGGGGGCUGCGGAGAAGCAGAGCUUAGCAACGGUUACCUGUUAGGUUCACGACCUAUUGUUGCUUCCGUCCAAUCCUCUUUCUUUUGGGAAUGUGGACAUUUUCUUUAGCUGCUAAAUCGUGAGAAAAUACGACUGCUGAGAUUUUUCCAUAGGAUUCUUUUAAAAAAUAGAUUAGGCUCUGUACAUAGUAAAAAAAAAAAAACUUGUGAGGACUCCAGGUAGGUAAUUUACUUCCUAUUGUAUGUAUAGUUUCUUUGAAGUCUCUGCACCUCUAUCCUGUUUUAUAUUUCUGUAAAUCUGAUUUGACCUUUAAUAAACUGUUUUCUGAAGUGA